UUGAUGAUGAGGAUGAUAAUGAAGAAUGUUAUGAGAUAGAUGAAAAUUAUGUUGAAGAUGCUGAUGAAGAUAUGGAAGGAGACAACCCUGAAAAUUUGGAAGAAGAAGACAAUUAUAUAGAUUUCUCCAAAAAGUAUGAUGAUUAUGCAGAUGAAUACGAGCCAGAUAAAAGUGACUUCCAAUACUUGGGUUGAAAUAUUGUUUCUUAUAAUUGGUGAGAGGUGUCAAACAUGUCCUUGAAUUUCUAACAAUUUAGUAUUGAUGCACUGCAUUGAUUUUACUUAUGGAAUAUGUUAAAUUUUCUUAUUCUAGAUCAAGAAUUUAAUGGCGCCAGAAAUAACCUUCUUUUUCCCUCCCUGCAAAGGUAGCGUAAGGGAGAGAUUAAGGAAUUGAUAUGAUUGGCCCCAGAUAAUUGGAACAUAGAAAGAAAUAUGAAAGGGGGUGUUUUUUUUUUUUUUUUUUUUUUUUUUUUUUUUUUUUUUUUUUUUU
Molecule: long non-coding RNA, 489 nt
Organism: Quercus lobata
Lineage: Eukaryota; Viridiplantae; Streptophyta; Magnoliopsida; Fagales; Fagaceae
Exons: 2
Source: RefSeq, a predicted model, not a curated record